This is a long non-coding RNA of Hyla sarda, 1431 nucleotides long. RefSeq lists it as uncharacterized. The record is from RefSeq and is a predicted model, not a curated record. Lineage: Eukaryota; Metazoa; Chordata; Amphibia; Anura; Hylidae. The transcript is spliced from 5 exons.
GAAACAACUCUUCUCCGGGCAACUGUAAAAGAGCUCGGGAAAGGGGGGCGCAGUCACAUGACGGAGCGGCCCCUGUGGCCGUUUGGAGCCGCGCGCCGCUCUCCCCUCACACGCCCCCUUCCCGCGUUUUUUUUUUUGUUAUUUUCGCCUCAGAAGCGUGAGGAGAGAAGACGAAGGGAAGCGGCGCGACCGGGAGCGCACAGGACACCGGUUCCGGGGUAAUACAGGAUCUAACUUUUACAGCAUUUUACGGCCACACAGAAAGAUGUGCUUAUGCUCAGCUACCAACCAAAAACUCCAAUAUAUGUUCAGUAACAAAACUUGGAGACAAAACAUUGGAUAAAGUAGAGGAUCUUUUAAACAAGAAUUUACAACCCUCGCCAAGUUUGUUAUCUUGAUAACACCGUUGCCGAAAAAGGGGAAAUAAAUUAUGACUUACCUGGUGAAAAGUGGAGGUGAUCUACAACAGGUCAGUGAAGAGGAAAUACGUGCUCGUACUAGUCUGGUUUUUGCCUACAUUGUUGGAUCAUUUCCAGCAAGGCUUUUAUAGUUUGGAAAUAAGCUGCUGUUCUGAGUAACAAAGUUUGUCGACCAAAUUUGCACAGGCAGAACCAGUAUUUCUGGCUUUUUGUGACUAUAAAUUCACAUAUUACUAUAGUUUGUUUCAGUUCUGACUGAUUUGGCAAACACGGAAGGCAUCCAUGUGAACAAACAGCCAAUCUGCUCCCGUGUGUGUUUUGUAUUCUUUGAGAACAGUUUGGUAUGCAGCUUUCUUCAACUUUAAAACCGCUGAUGUUUACAAGAAAUCACGCAAGGUGAGAUAAAGAUAAGAAACUGCUCUGAUUACAGUGCAGAAAUAUUCAGCACAAAGAGGACAAAAACAUAAUGAAAAACUUUAAACCUCUCUGAAAGGUUAACCAAAAUAACUUUAUCAGGAAGGUAAAAGUUAUGACUGGCAAACUGAAUUCCAAAACAGGUGUGGUGACCGCAGAAGAAAAAGUAGUGUGUAGCUGCCUAAGGGACUUAAGAAGUGAAUAUUGGAAGAAUAAAAAAUACAUGCAUUUACUAAAGACCAUUUCUACGUCUAGCUAAAAUAUUUAGAGAGCUAGUGUGAAGUUUCCCAUCUAUUUAUCCUAAAGACACUAAAGAGUGGUCAAUAUUUACUAGGUUCCAAUCCUCUGUGAUACUGAGCCCCGAAGACAUUAUUGAUGGCUGUACCUACCUAUUGACUAGGCCUCUUUUUAAAUAGCUUAAUAAAGGCAUUCUUUUGAUUGAAAGCAUCAAUCUUUAAUGCAACAAAGCUGAAAUCUGUAGUGAUCAGUGUGAACUUUCCAAGAGCACACCUAGGGUAGCAUCUGUAUACCUGUUAGUAAUAUACCAUAAACAGUUAUGGCCUUAACAGGUAGGGGUAUGUCUCCAUGAUAUUUUAGA